This is an RNA transcript of Xenopus laevis (African clawed frog), 3204 nucleotides long. It is a transcript of the gene named calpain-14, with no coding region annotated. The record is from RefSeq and is a predicted model, not a curated record. Lineage: Eukaryota; Metazoa; Chordata; Amphibia; Anura; Pipidae. The transcript is spliced from 22 exons.
AAGUGGGUGGAGACAAAUACCAUUGUGUUUAUUAGACACUUAUGGGGGAGGAGCCAGUCACAAAAUAUAACUUGUGUUAGUCCACGGCGCACUAUUAGUGAACUAUCUGGAAUAAUAAGAACAACAACAACGCAGGGAAGGGUGAAUAUCCAUUGCUGGGAUUCUUCACCAAGAUUCAUCUUUAGCCCUUUGGAUUCUCAUACUCGGCACAGAAUUUUGGGGACCCCUUGGGGCAUCUCCUGAAUUAUCAUGGGCCUGCACUGCAUCAUGCCGCGCCUGUCCUUCAUCACCGGAGGGAAGAAAACGAAGAAGCUGCUGCGCACGGGAACCUUUAGAAAGCCACGUCAGCUACAGAGUCAGGACUACCAGACCCUCCUGGAGAAAAGCUUAGGGGGAAAACAGUUGUUUGUGGAUGAGACUUUCCCGGCCAGUUUGGCCUCCAUUGGAAGCGGACGCCUGCUGGACAAGAUCCCAGACUGUGUGGAGUGGAAAAGGCCACAUGAGCUGGUGGAGAAUCCCCAAUUCUGUACAGAAAAUGCCAGUGAAUUUGGGUUACACCAAGGCCUCACAGAGAACUGCUGGUUCCUGGCUGCGCUCUCCUCUCUGACUUUCCAUCCCGAUAUCCUGACCAAUGUUGUGCCGCAGAACCAGAGCUUUGAGGAGAAUUACAGUGGCAUCUUCCACUUUCGGUUCUGGCGGUUCGGGGAAUGGGUCGAUGUAGUGGUGGACGACCAGCUGCCUGUGAACAACGAAGGAAAACUCCUAUUUGUCUCUUCUGUCCGGGAAAACCUCUUUUGGGGCCCCCUCCUGGAGAAAGCCUACGCCAAACUGUGCGGCUCCUAUGAGGACAUGCAGAUUGGCCAAGUAUCUGAGGCUCUGGUUGAUUUCACUGGUGGGGUAAAUAUGAGCAUAAAGAUGCCACAGGCACCCCAAGACCUGUUCCAGAUCAUGAUGAGGGCUCAGAACAGCGGAUCACUAAUGGGAUGCCAAACGCAGACAGGGCCUGAAAGGGUUUUGGACAACGGACUAGUGACGGGUCACGCCUACACUGUGAUGGACCUCAGGCAAGUGUCAUGCAAAUCUGGAAUGGAGAAUUUAGUGAGGCUGAGGAAUCCAUGGGGAAAGAUUGAAUGGAAAGGAAAAUGGAGUGACAGGUGCCCCAAAUGGGAUCAGCUCAGCUACAAGGAGAGGAUUUUCCUCAGAAAGAAAAGAGAAGAUGGAGAAUUUUGGAUGUCCAUUGAAGACUUUGAAGCCCACUUUGUGGAGUUAGUGAUCUGCAAACUGACCCCAGACCUGAUGAGCCAUGAGAUUGGGAAGGAGUGGACUUUAUCUAUGCAGUGCGGCAAAUGGAGCUCCGGAAGUACGGCCGGGGGCAGGAUGACUUAUAUGGAGUCCUACUGGAUGAACCCACAGUACCGACUUAAGAUUUUCAAGGGGGACGACAUGGAAAAAUUCACAAAUUCUUGCAAUGUUCUGGUGUCCCUUCUACAGAAACAGAACCACAAACACAGGAACCAGUCCCCUCCUCUGUACAUUGGGAUGUCUGUAUUCCUGGUGCCACUUGAGUACCAAGGUGUAAGGAGGUUACCACCGAAGUUUUUCCUGACCCAGCGCCCAAUCAACAACAAAUGUGUAUUUAUUAAUGAGCGAGAAGUGACUCAGGACUAUCACUUGAUGCCUGGAUCUUACGUUAUCGUCCCUUCCACAGCUGACCCAAACCAGGAGUGUGAAUUCAUAUUAAGAGUGUUUUCUAGGAAGCACCUUCUACAAGAGCAGACAGAGAGCCCAAACAUCGUCCUUUGCUGCAAGAAAAUUGCUGAAAGACAUAGAAAUGGAGCCUGGGAAAAUGUCUUCAACAAAUACUUUGAAAGGUACCCAGAAAUCAAAGUCGCCCAACUGCAGCAGCUGCUGAACAAAGUCACAUGGACAAAUGCCAAGCAAGCGCCAGGGAAAUUCAGUUUAGACGACUGCAAACUCAUUAUUGCCCUAUUGGAUAUGAAAACAUCUGGAACCCUAAACAUGCAAGAGUUCCGAGGCCUGUGGAAGCGACUCCUCUCUUACCAGGAGAUUUUCCAAAGGAGGGACGUGGAUAAAACUGGAUAUUUAAAGCUUAAUGACCUGCAGGCUGCCAUUCAAGAAAAAGGAAUUACGUUACAACGUCAGUUCUACAACCUUGUGGCAAUGCGAUACGGUGACUCGCUCCUGAAAAUGAGUUUCGAGAAUUUUGCCUGUCUCAUGCUGAGGAUAGAGAUUAAUGAUGAAGUCUUUCACAACCUGAGCCAAGAUGGGAAAGGGAUUUAUCUGCAGGAGGCCGAGUGGAUGCUGCUUACGCUAUACUCUUGAGGAACCUACAAAUCUACGAGCUCAACAGGAUCUUCAUUGAGAAUUUGCGAAUUUUCAGUCAGACUUUUUUUUUUAUUAUUUUACUUUUUUUUUUAUUGCGCACAAGAAACAGUGAACUCUGGAGGUCCAACAUUUCAAAAUAUUUUUCUCAUAUUUUCGCAGAUGGGGCAACUCGUAUAUUUUAAAAUAUUUUAUUUAAAUUUUAUGUAUUUGCUAUAUUUAUUAUUUUUUCAUCGCCUCCAUCCAAGAAGAGCUGCAAAAGUACAGAGAAAGAGAACUUUGCACUAAGAAGAGCGGAACAAAUGGUCACAUUAUUUGCAGCCAUUUAACAAGAGGAAGAAUGCGGCGUGACAUAUAGAGGACGCCAGGACGCUCUCCAAACCGUCACGGAUGCAUUUUAAAGCUUUUAGAAGGAACCUGACGCACAGAGAAAAAUAUAACUAUGAAAAAAAAAAAUGUGAAUAUAAAAUCGGAGAUGCCAGUUUAUGUUUCUGAACUUGAAAAUGGAUUUUGUUUACAUUAACCCUUUUUACUGCUAUUUAUUUCCGCGUGUUUUCACGUGGCACCGAUUGACAUGCUGUAUUCUGUGUAUGUAUUGUUUUGAAGGAAAAGUGGAAUUCGAUUAAAUGAUAUAUUUUUUCGUAAAUGUUUGCUCUGAUAAUACUUUAGGUUAUUUUUUUAUUCUCAAUGGAAUUUAGGGUUUGAGCACUUUACAUGGCAGAGAUUUUAGAAUCCAGGGGGCAAAUUUACUAAUUUACUAAAGGGCGACGUGACUAAUGCUGGAGAAAAUGGGAGCAGGGUAACUUCGCUAGCGAAAGAGACUGACGCUGGCGCUCAUUCGCACUCAAUCGGCAGGCAAAG